This 270-nucleotide long non-coding RNA is filed under the name Mytilus galloprovincialis (Mediterranean mussel). The record is from RNAcentral. Lineage: Eukaryota; Metazoa; Mollusca; Bivalvia; Mytilida; Mytilidae.
AAGUACAUAGAUUUGUAUUUAUGUUUAAAUUCGGAUACUGUAUUUGAUUUUUUUUAUUGAAUUAGGAAGAGCAUUCCACACUUUUGGUCCAUUGUACGAGAAACUAGACUUAUACAACUCUGUAUUUGGUUUUGGAAUAAUAAAAUUAUCUGAGGAUGAAAAUCUCGUAUUAUAUUUUUGGUUUGCAGAAGCUGAUACAAUAAGACUGGACAUAUAUUCUGGAGCUAAGCCAUGUUUUGUCUUAUACAUUAGUAAUGAUUUGUGAUAAAG